UUGACAACGUCAAUGAAUACAUCAAAGAGAAAUUCAGUAUCGCGGGGACCAGGAGUAGACUCUGGGUGAAAUUGCACAGAGAAAAAUGGAUACUCAGUAUUAUAGAUACCUUCAUUUGAACCAUCGUUAGCAUUGACAAAAAGUUCUUUCCAGCCAUUUGAUAAACUAGACGCAUCAACCGCAUAACCAUGAUUUUGGGAAGUAAUGUAACAUCUACCCGAGAUCA
Schizosaccharomyces pombe (fission yeast) is the source of this 226-nucleotide non-coding RNA. NCBI's taxonomy places the organism in Eukaryota, Fungi, Ascomycota, Schizosaccharomycetes, Schizosaccharomycetales, Schizosaccharomycetaceae. The record is from the annotation of a GenBank genome assembly.